RNAcentral lists this ribosomal RNA (945 nucleotides) under Triticum aestivum (bread wheat). RNAcentral's name for it is "partial small subunit ribosomal RNA". The record is from RNAcentral. Lineage: Eukaryota; Viridiplantae; Streptophyta; Magnoliopsida; Poales; Poaceae.
CUUCAUCCACACAUACAUCACUCGAUGGUUGAUCAUUUUCUUACCAAAAUUUCAGAUCAUUUGCAACUGAAUAUGCAACUGGAUGGUCUCCACCCGCUCCAACAGCAAGACAUGGUCUUCUCAGCCACAAUUCCACAUGAAACGAUGUCCACCUUAAUAGAACGCAUUGUGGAAUCAUCAAUGUGUUCUUCAGGUGUCAUCAUUAACACCUUUAGCGAGCUGGAAGAUGCUGAGCUACAAAAGAUCAUCGAUGGCAUGGGCGUCCCGGUGUAUGCAAUCGGUCCACUUCACAAGAUAUCUUUAGGUGCCCAGAGCAGCCUGAUGGCUCAAGAUAGAACAUGUUUGGAUUGGUUGGACAAGCAAGAAGUAGGAUCUGUUCUGUUCGUGAGCUUCGGGAGCUUGGCAUCCAUGGAUCAGGAAGAGCUAGUGGAGACUGCAUGGGGCUUGGCCAACAGUCACAUGCCAUUUCUUUGGGUGAUCCGGCCUGACUCGGUUCAAGGUUUAGGGAAUAUAGGCCUACCCGUCGGCUUUGAGGAAGAGGCACGAGGUAGGGGAAUGGUGGUGAGCUGGGCCCCACAACAAGAAGUUCUUGGGCACCAGGCGGUUGGUGGAUUUUGGACCCAUAAUGGCUGGAACUCAACGUUGGAGAGCAUAAGUGAGGGUGUUCCAAUGAUAUGUAGACCACAUUUCGGCGACCAGAUGAUAAAUUCCAGGUAUGUCCAGGAGGUGUGGAAGAUAGGGUUUGUGUUAGAGGGCAAGAUGGACAGGGACAAUAUCCAGAGGAGUGUUAAAAAGUUGUUUUGCCACGAAGAAGGUGGAGAGAUGAGGCGAAGGGCAAAUAAUCUCAAAGACAAAGCAACCCAGUGCAUUCAGAAAGGAGGCUCUUCACAAAUAGGAAUUGAUUUGUUGGUGAAUUGCAUAAUGGCAUUACCUUCUUCCAUUUAG